Long non-coding RNA from Ceratitis capitata (Mediterranean fruit fly), 1287 nucleotides. RefSeq lists it as uncharacterized. Lineage: Eukaryota; Metazoa; Arthropoda; Insecta; Diptera; Tephritidae. The transcript has 3 exons. The record is from RefSeq and is a predicted model, not a curated record.
CCCCCAAUUGUUAGUUUUAAAUGAUUUAUUUCAAUUUGUUUUCUUUUUAAUUUGUUCCUGCGGAAAAACGCUGAGGUAAGCCGGCGGUCGAGAGUGUUUAUAUUUUGAUAUAAACAUUUAGUCCUUCUAGCCGGUAGGUGAGGUCAACUUUCACCAUCGAUUUUCCAGGAAAACAAACUCAUCCAACAUUAUUCAUCAUCCAACAAACAUAGAGAGAGGAGUAUUCAAAGCAAUCACCAACCAACAAGGAAUUAAAGCCAAAUAAUAAAUACGUAUAUCAGCAGAAACAAUUACGUGCAAAUAAAAAAAACCUUACAUAAUGGAAUUAGUAAAAAUCAAUUCGUCAUCUUCUCCAGCACCAUUGGUUUAGCCAAUAUCUUAACCAAAACGUUAUCUACCAGCCAAGGCGCUUUCUAGACGCCAAUUAUGAACGCCGGCUCCGUCUCAUUUUGUUGCAUUAGUAUUGUUCACGUUGUUUAGUAUAUUCUCAUAUUGCGAAGAGAUGUCAAAGCAAAGGCUCGUGCGCGUAUUGCAAUGAGGACGAUCACACCUUGUUUCAUGUCGAUCAUCGUCUCACCCCCCGUCGUCAACUUCCACCUUCCACAGCGCUUCGCGAUCCUUGUUCGCAGACCAGCAAAAUUUGCAAAUCUUUGGUUAAAAAAAUUACGUGGACCGUACUAGUGGCAAAUUUAGAGAGGUGUGAGAUCGUAAUGGGAUCAUCCAGUGAAUCACGCGUAAGAUUUUUAUUGACUGUGACAAUAAUACAAGAGAUCGGCUCGAAGACUCCAGCGCGCCAUCUGAAUUCAUCUGUAGCGGAGAAGUUUACAAAUGUAAAGUUAGCGGAUUGAACAUUGAUUGAGCAUUGAACUAUUUUACGUUUUUUUCUAUUUGUUGCAAUUCUCUAAUACUGCAAGGCUGGCGGUAAUGUUAAAGCCAAAAGCCACUGGAAGUUUGCCGUCACCUUGUUAUUUACUAACACUGAAGUCGGAAAAUUACCGGUGAUGCUUAUUAUCAUAUUUUGAUGGUAUUUAAGCUAAUGUUCCGCUAAAAACGGGCUCACUUUUCUAAAGACGGCUACAACAGCGGACCUUAGCGAACAAAGCAAAUAAGCGAACUUUAUGUAGAGUGGGAAAACGCUGAGGUGAAUCGGCGUUCGCGAGAGUUUAUAUUUUGAUAUAAACACUGUGUUUGCAGGUUUUUAGUUUUCGAGAACUGUCAAGUGUUUUCACUGGAUGUUUACUGAGUUUAGAACUGUUAUUUAUAUUUGUUUACUAAUUUUCAUUGUUA